Molecule: long non-coding RNA, 878 nt
Organism: Oncorhynchus tshawytscha (Chinook salmon)
Lineage: Eukaryota; Metazoa; Chordata; Actinopteri; Salmoniformes; Salmonidae
Source: Ensembl
CAAACCAGUACUAUGACAGUGAAGAAGAGGAGGAAGAGUGGGGUUCAGAACAAGGAAGACCAGAGCAGUGGAGGAAUAUCAGCAUGCUAAUGAUCAGAUGGUAUGGCACUCUCAGGAAUAAUAAAAACAUCAGUGUUUUAUGCCAUCGUCGAGAAUGGUAAAUCUGACAACCACCAGUACACUUACUUAUGAAUUAUUCAUAAUUUAAAAUGGGUGAUCAUUUCUGGAGUGUGAUGCUUUUGUGUAAUGGGAUAAUAAUGAUGCUACCCUGGCAGCGGGUCUGGAGAGCUCCAGGCCACUAUGAAUUAAAUCCCAAGAGGAAUGCAGGGAAUCAUGGGAAUGUGGCUGAGUCUUCCAACAGCAGAGGGGAAGUACCGGGGGCAGUUGCCCCCAUCGCCUGUUACUCCUGGGUACAGAGCUGGACUGAGCAGAACAUCCUCUCUGCUAGGACAUACCACAGGAUCAGUGGUAACCCUUCUAGAAAAACUCACUCAUUAACUCUUCAAUGGGAAUGGGAUCUCUGCUCUUCUACUUGCAUUUUUUUCAUCUCACACUCUAAAGCUGGUGCAUAUUUUGGGUUUUAAGGGACAACUUAAGGGAUCAAGGAAGCUGUUGGAGCAUAUUUUUGGAUAACCUGUUAUCGGCUGUGGCUCUGAACAACCGUCUUACUUUAAACCCAUGCAGAUGCAGCCUCUGUCUGUAUCUCUGGGAGGUGGUGGUGAGGAUUCCUCCAAUUCCCCUUCUCAGAGCUUCAGCAUUACUGAGAUGGUAGAGGAGGGAAGUUUGUUUUUAUCAGGUUUUUGUUAUCUAAUCUUGACGAUCACAUCAACAGCCUAAAUAUCUAAUCCCCACUAAAGUUUUGACUAAUGAGUGAUAUG